GAUGAAGAACGUAGCGAAAUGCGAUAAGUAAUGUGAAUUGCAGAAUUCAGUGAAUCAUCGAAUCUUUGAACGCACCUUGCGCUCCUUGGUAUUCCGAGGAGCAUGCCUGUUUGAGUGUCAUGAAAUUCUCAACCUUUCUGGCUUUUGCUAGUCAGGCUUGGAUUAUGGGAGCUGCUGGCUUUUGAAGUCGGCUCUUCUAAAAUGUAUUAGCAAGAUCAUUGCUGCUCAUCAUUGGUAUGAUAAUUAUCUAUAUCAUUGAGAGUCAGUUUCCUUUAUUGGAAGAUUUUGCUCCUAGCGGUCUUUAGCAAGACAACAUUUGACGAUUUUGACCUCAAAUCAGGUAGGACUACCCGCUGAACUUAAGCAUAUCAAUAAGCGGAGGA
Molecule: unclassified non-coding RNA, 383 nt
Filed under: soil metagenome
Description: partial contains 5.8S ribosomal RNA, internal transcribed spacer 2, and large subunit ribosomal RNA
Rfam family: 5.8S ribosomal RNA (bases 1-120)
Source: RNAcentral